GACGAACGCUGGCGGCGCGCCUAACACAUGCAAGUCGAACGGAGUCAAGAGGAGCUUGCUUUUCUUGACUUAGUGGCGAACGGGUGAGUAACGCGUGAGUAACCUGCCCUGGAGUGGGGGACAACAGUUGGAAACGACUGCUAAUACCGCAUAAGCCCACGGAUCCGCAUGGAUCUGCGGGAAAAGGAUUUAUUCGCUUCAGGAUGGACUCGCGUCCAAUUAGCUAGUUGGUGAGGUAACGGCCCACCAAGGCGACGAUUGGUAGCCGGACUGAGAGGUUGAACGGCCACAUUGGGACUGAGACACGGCCCAGACUCCUACGGGAGGCAGCAGUGGGGGAUAUUGCACAAUGGGGGAAACCCUGAUGCAGCGACGCCGCGUGGAGGAAGAAGGUUUUCGGAUUGUAAACUCCUGUCGUUAGGGACGAUAAUGACGGUACCUAACAAGAAAGCACCGGCUAACUACGUGCCAGCAGCCGCGGUAAAACGUAGGGCGCAAGCGUUGUCCGGAAUUACUGGGUGUAAAGGGAGCGCAGGCGGACCGGCAAGUUGGAAGUGAAAACUAUGGGCUCAACCCAUAAAUUGCUUUCAAAACUGCUGGCCUUGAGUAGUGCAGAGGUAGGUGGAAUUCCCGGUGUAGCGGUGGAAUGCGUAGAUAUCGGGAGGAACACCAGUGGCGAAGGCGACCUACUGGGCACCAACUGACGCUGAGGCUCGAAAGCAUGGGUAGCAAACAGGAUUAGAUACCCUGGUAGUCCAUGCCGUAAACGAUGAUUACUAGGUGUUGGAGGAUUGACCCCUUCAGUGCCGCAGUUAACACAAUAAGUAAUCCACCUGGGGAGUACGACCGCAAGGUUGAAAACUCAAAGGAAAUUGACGGGGGCCCGCACAAAGCAGUGGAGUAUGUGGUUUAAAUUCGAAGCAACGCGAAGAACCUUACCAGGUCUUGACAUCCGAUGCAUAGCUUAGAGAUAAAGUGAAGUCCUUCGGGACAUCGAGACAGGUGGUGCAUGGUUGUCGUCAGCUCGUGUCGUGAGAUGUUGGGUUAAGUCCCGCAACGAGCGCAACCCUUAUUGCCAGUUACUACGAAAAGAGGACUCUGGCGAGACUGCCGUUGACAAAACGGAGGAAGGUGGGGAUGACGUCAAAUCAUCGAUGCCCUUUAUGACCUGGGCUACACACGUACUACAAUGGCGUUUAACAAAGAGAAAGCAAGACCGCGAGGUGGAGCAAAACUCGAAAAACAACGUCUCGGUUCGAGAUUGCAGGCUGCAACUCGCCUGCAUGAAAGUCGGAAUUGCUAGGAAUCGCGGAUCAGCAUGCCGCGGUGAAUACGUUUCCCGGGCCU
RNAcentral lists this ribosomal RNA (1347 nucleotides) under uncultured bacterium. RNAcentral describes it as "bacterial SSU rRNA". It matches the Rfam family "Bacterial small subunit ribosomal RNA", at positions 28 to 1381 of the family's 1533-position model. The record is from RNAcentral.